Molecule: ribosomal RNA, 460 nt
Filed under: uncultured bacterium
Lineage: Bacteria
Description: partial 16S ribosomal RNA
Rfam family: Bacterial small subunit ribosomal RNA
Source: RNAcentral
CCUACGGGCGGCUGCAGUGAGGAAUCUUGGUCAAUGGACGAGAGUCUGAACCAGCCACGUAGCGUGAAGGAUGACUGCCCUAUGGGUUGUAAACUUCUUUUAUAUGGGAAUAAAAUGUUCCACGUGUGGGAUUUUGUAUGUACCAUAUGAAUAAGGAUCGGCUAACUCCGUGCCAGCAGCCGCGGUAAUACGGAGGAUCCGAGCGUUAUCCGGAUUUAUUGGGUUUAAAGGGAGCGUAGGUGGAUUGUUAAGUCAGUUGUGAAAGUUUGCGGCUCAACCGUAAAAUUGCAGUUGAAACUGGCAGUCUUGAGUACAGUAGAGGUGGGCGGAAUUCGUGGUGUAGCGGUGAAAUGCUUAGAUAUCACGAAGAACUCCGAUUGCGAAGGCAGCUCACUGGACUGCAACUGACACUGAGGCUCGAAAGUGUGGGUAUCGAACAGGAUUAGAUACCCCUGUAGUC